UCUUAAAAUAAUGAUUAGAAAUAAAUAAUUAAUAAAGAAAAUUUAUAAUAAUCUUCGAAGUAAUGCUAUAAUAAUUUCAUUUAAAAUAUCUUUUUUCUCAUUUUUGUUAACAUAAAAAUUGGAAAUGAUACUAAAAUUUCGAAAUGAUACUAUAUAUAGCUUCAAUGUAAAUGUUAUCUUCUUUUCUUUUUGCACCUAAUUGUGAAUAUAUAUGAAUGCACAUUGGAUCAACAUAAGCAUGCACAUUUUGCUGAUAUCUGAUAAAUGAUCAUGAUGCAUUUCCAUCACCGCGACCGAACGACACCGACACUCAUUCACAAUUAGAGGAUCGAAUUUCUCUGCCUCAUGCUAUAUAUUUUGCACUAGGAGAAAACGUUAGUAGUAGCUAGGAAGAAAUGUGUUUAUUUAGUUAAUAAUAAAAUUGUUUUUAUGUACCUUGAGGAAAACGUAAACAAUUUUUCAAAUAACAAAAUAAAUAGUGCCAUUAUAAAUAUUCUCUUCUCUUAUUUAUUUAUAAAUAAGAGAUGUUAAAAACGUACCCACGCAAAUUUCACGCACAUUAUAGAAAAAAUAAUAUUAAUUUCAAAUACUCACGUACAUAAGAGAAAAUAUAAUAAUGUUGAAACUAGAUAAAUAAAUUGAGUAUAUUUCCGCUUUUUUUAUUAACUUGAAUGCACAAAACCUAUAUACGCAUAUGUGUACGUGUUUAAUAAUCAAUGCUGAUAUUCACUUUAAGUAUUUAUCAAUAUUACAAAUAUAAAUCAAUUUUCUCAUAAUGGCUAAUAAUAACUAAAAUGUUUAUACAAUUUCAAGAAACGUAAGUAAAUAAAACAUCUCUUUCACAAAACAAUGUAACUACAAGUUUACGAAUAUAUAGCGAUACUUAGAAAGUGAACUUUUUUUUAAUAAAAUAACUAAAAUUUGUUUAGUUUCACAAAUUUAUGAAAAACUCACUCUUUUCCAACUCAAUUUUUCGAUAUCUGUAAGUAGUAUGUAAAUAUUCGUACAAACAUAUUCAUAUAUAUAUUUAUAUAUACCAAGCAGAAUGAUCCAGUUCAGUGUUAUCCUUCAAAAAGAGCAGAUGUAUUUUGUUCACACUUCGAAGCAAGGAAAUCUAAAUGGAAAUGAAGCAAAAUAUACAACCAAUUAUGGGAAAUGACUAUGUACAACAAAAAAUUAAUCGUAUUAUAUUCGAUAUCAGAAUGCAAGUUGACUUGUGCUAAAUAAUUGAAACGGACGCAGAGAUAUCUAUAAUAUCCAGAAUGUCAGACAAAAGACUCAGGAAAAGGAAAGUUACUACUAAAAAAAGUAAUACCAAUAGUUACUACGAAUAACAACAAUCUUUAAAGUAUCAACAUCUAAAAAAUGGUUAAUAAAUUCCAAUAUCUUAUUCACCAAUUGAUGCAAUACUUCAUAAAACAUAUAACCGAAUAACAGUGAAACAAACUUGUUCUUAAGCAAAGAACCGUUAAGCGAAGACUCCUCCACUAUUUAUUCAAGCCAACAUUGUAUAUACAUUAAUCGAGGUUCUUAACAAAUCUGUCAUGGAUACAUAUAACUAUAAAACCAAUAACCAACAGAUAAAAAAACAGGCUUCAGUCAUGGAUACAUAUUGUUAAAUUAUUAAAACUUUAAAAACUCAAAAUACUAGCAACUAUAUAUUUCAACCAAAAGAGGAAAGGAGGUAUAAGGGAAGGAUCAAAGGUUUACAUUAUACCACUUCCAUUAAACAAAUCAAGCAAGAGCUGUAUUUUCAAGGACAUACAGCAUUGCACAAUAAAUGAUGACUCAAUUCAAACUAGUCAUGGAACUUCUAACAAAAUUAGUAACCAAAGAUGGAUAAGUUCAAAGUAAUAUUAUGCAAUUGUAAUAUUCUCCAGCUAAAAAUCGACGAACUCAACAACAUUUUUCUCAAUCCACGACAUUGAUAUAUUUUUGCUACUAAAGACACAUAAAAUAGAUAAAUCCUAUUACAAAAUACACAGAUACCAGACUUAUAUAACUCCUUCUGCAACGGACAGAACAUGUGGAGGCACUACUAUUUUCAUCAGAAACACAAUUACAUACAUGCCGAUUAACAGCACACAAAUGGAUUAGAUGCAAACAACAUCUAUAACAGUGAUGAUAAAUAAGAUCCAAAUAACAUUCAUCUUUAAUUACAUCCCCCUUGCUAAAAAGGUCACAAUACAGAACUUUGAAUCUCUUUUACUAUGACACAGGAAAUACAUAAUCGCCGGCGAUUUCAAUGGCAAGCACACAGAUUGGGGUUCUAGAUUAGUAAUAGCAAGAGGUUUUGUAAUUAGAAAUAUCAUUGAAAUUCGCAAUAGCAAAUUACAGAACACUAGUAUCCUCAAUACACACAACUGACAAUCAUUUAUUGGUUCUGAUGAAAAUUAACUUACGACUACCCUAUAAACAACCUACCAUGUUAAUUACAAAACUAACCAACUGGGAUGGAUUCAGAGAUAUGAUCGAAUCCACACUUAUCUGUAAUGUCAGAUUUAAAACCACCAAAGAUAUUAACACUGCACUUGAAGAUUUCACGAUCAUUCUUCAAACGACUGUAUAUAGAAACACACUAGCUACCAAACAAUUAGUACAUGAAACUGAAAAAUUCCCAAACAUAUUUUACAAUCGAUAAAAGAAAGGAGGCUAGCCAUUAAACUUUGGAAAAGAAAUAAGAACAGACAUGAUAAAGCAAGAAUAAACUAUUUAAUACAACAAAGAAGAAAACACAUGCACAUGUUUUGAAAUCUAACAUUUCAAUACUAUUUAGAACAUAUGUAUGAACAGGAAAACCUUGUGGAGAAUUAUCAAGAACCUCAAAACACAACACCAAAGAUAAGCAUUCCUAGUUGGAAUGACAGAAAUGGUGAAAGAAUCACCAAUUCAACAAAAAUUCUAAAAGUAGCACAUUAUAUUCAAUUAGGGAUUUAUACGAAUAGUAGAAAUCCUGGCUAUUAAUAUCAACCUGAAAUAAUACCACUAAGUACAAUGUUUAAGGAAAUCAAAGAUUUAGUCAAUAAGCUUAAUCCCAAGAAAGUAUCUUGAGUAAAUCUAAUAACUGGAAAACUCCUACAACUAUAUACUGAUAAAACAAGUAGAUACCUAACCAUCCUGUAUAAUGCAAUGUAAAACUAAGCUACUUCCCCACAGCAUGAAAAUGUGCAAAAAUUAUAUUAAUAUUAAAACCAGGACAUCACCAAUUACAUUGGCUAACUAUAAACCCAUAUCUCUCCUUUCAACUAUGUCUAAAAUCCUGGAAAAGAUUUUUUUAAGAAUAUAAUGACAAAUACCAAAAUAUCAUCCCAAACCAUCAAUUCAGAUUCAGGAAAUACCACGGAACUAUCGAACAAGUCCACAAAGUAUUCAACAAAAUAGCAUACGCCUUCUUGGACAAAAAGAUCUGCAAUUGUCCUUUUUGACCUAGAGAAAGCUGUCAACAAAAUACUGCAUAAUAAACUAAUCCAAGACCUCCAAGACAAAUUACUAGUGGAUAUAUCAUCAAUCAUAAUUAACUAUCUCGUUAAUAGAAUAUUUUUCAUUGAUGUCCUGAAAAAGAUAUCGGACAUAUGUAGAUAUCAAUAGACAAUGUCACAGAAAAGUAUUGGCCCAAUUUCUAUUUUUUAUCUAUAUAAUCGCCAUCCUAAAUAAGAAAUAAUAUCCUCACAUUUGAAGAUGAUACGAUUCGUAUACAUAAUGAAAACAACCAAGACUCAUUACAAAAGCUCCAAUAAGACCUUCUCCAAUUUCCAGAAUGGAUCACUAGUAAGGGUAUUAAAAUUAAUACGACUAAAAGUUGAUACGUACAGUUUACUCGCAACAAAAAUGACCCAACAUUUAUUAAACUAAACAAUGAAUCCAUUCCGGUUAAAACUGUAAUUACGUAUCUAGGAAUGGUCUUGGAUAAAAAGUUUACAUGAAAACCACACAUACACCUAAUCAGAAUGAAAAUUUACACAAUACUUAAUAAAAUAUGAUGACUCAUAUGACAUUAGCCCCGACUAUGUACUAAGAACAAAACUGUAUAAAGUCUUAAUAAAUGGACAUAUGAUAUAACAUUAUGAAGCACAGUUGCAAAAUCCAAUGAAGUCAAAAUAAAAGGGUUACAAAUCAAUGUUAUAAAAAAAAUACUAAACGCCCCUUGGGGAACCAGUACCAACAACAUAGAGACUGCAUUCUCAAUCAAUUGAGAUGAUGAUAUAGAAGCAACUCUCAAUCAAUUUUGAGAUUAUUAAAUAUUGAAAACGUUACUGGGAAAGAUUAGAAAAACAUCCAAACCUCACUAUACUCGAUUGUUUUCAAAAACUACCAAAUGAAAGAAGAUUAAGGUAAAGUAUCCGCUGGACAACUACCUUUCAACUACGUUUUAAUCAAUGGACUAGGGGAGAUAGAAGAAUAAGAACCUAAUAUUACUUUUACGAAGCAUCAGAAUUCCUUAAAUAUUUAGCUGUAAGAAUCAUUCUAUACCAAAAAUAUAAUAACUCCUUUGUAGUUAUACGUGAUAAUAAACGAUAUUUGAAAGAAAGAAAGAAAGAGCAGAAUGAUCCGAUAAGCAUUGGAGUGUAUAAAGUUUGCAUAUCGUUGCACUAAUAAGUGUUCAACGUUGAUAUGUAAAAAAUGCAAGAUGCAUUAUAAAUAUUCUGAAACUGUUGAUUAAUGCAAGAAAGAGAAACAGAGAGAAAAAAAAGAGAAACUCAUUUUUUGAAAUUUUACAGAAAGUGUUCAAUUCUUUCUUCUUUGUUUCUUAUCAAAAUAAUUAUUUUAUCAUUCAUAUUUCUCUUUGAAUGUAAUUAUGAAGUUUAAUCCUUUAUUAAAUUGAUUUCUCAAAUGCACACGAUUCAGAAAUAAAUAAAAGAAAGAAAAUAACUGAGAAAGUACGAAAAAUUAUUUUACAAGAAAUAAUGAAAUAAAUAAAAUUAAAAAAAAACUAUAAAAAAUAAAGAAAAACUAUUUAGGAGUAUAAGCAAUAUUUUGUUACAUUACAUAUUCUAUAUUUUUAAGUAUAUCUUCCUGCACCAAAUUACUAAUAAAUAUUAAAAUUAUUAUAUAUAUCCGUAUAGCAUCUGUUUAUAAACAGAAUUAAUGUAUACCUAAACAUGUAAAAAAAAAAUUCUUGACGAGAGACACUGUUGAGCCUCCAUUGGAUUAUUGUAAAUGAUUUGGCCAUGCAUAUUUGUAAAUCAAUUGCCAACACCAGAAAUUAAAUAAAAAAAAAACAAAUGUAAGAUAGUACGGGAUUUCACCAUGAAACUAUGUAUUAUACCUCCAUAUAUGUAUAUAAAACUAGAUGUAUAAUGAUACAAGAUAUAGCCUUAUUAAUUUUAUACACAUAUUGAAACGAAUAUUUAAUCAGAUUAGCUGCGAUGACGAGUUAACCCUCCAUAACGUCAUGUAAAUUUGAAGUCACAUACUAAAGUAUAGUGACAAGUAAAAGUGUAGCAUUUUUCUAAAAUUGGAGCACUAUGAACAAAAACAAGUGAGACUUUAUAGGAGAUCGCUACUAACACAGGGAUUUUGAUUCUAGAAGUUUAUCCGAACAGGCACAAGGACAAAAAGGCUUGUCAAGGCUUUAUUGAAACUAUUCGAGAUCCUCAUCUCAAAAAGAAUGUGGCUUUAACUAUCUCUAAGUGCCAAAUUUUAAAUUAAGUAUUAUAUAUUCGCUGAAAAACAUAUCAAUCAAUAAUUCCACUUUUAGGAACGAAAAGGAACAUCGAAUAUCUGAUGUUAAAAAAUUCUCAAGGACACAAGAAUCAACACGUGACAAGAGGAUGAAUCUGUAACACAAGAAUAGAGAAUGAUAUUCCACAAUGUUGGAGUUACGAAAAAACUGAUAAUUUCAGGAAUUAAGAUCCACAAGGAAGGAGAGAUUAUCAGAAACCAAACAGCGAUGCGGAUAUAGUAAGUAACGCGAUUCCACAGAACAUAGGUAAGCAGAAAAUGGAAAGGAGUGGAAAAAACGGAGGAGUAUGACCAGAUAAGAGUGCACAAUUUUUUUUAAAUGUUAUUUUCUUUGCAAAAAUCAUGUCUGCAAAUAAGUAAUUUCCAAGAGCAAUUUUCACACAAUUAAAAGCUUGUUUCAAAAAUCUUUAUUUCAUAUAGAAAACUGAUCUUUUCUUUAACUUAUAUCUAUUUUAUAAGAAAUAGAAAUAUCAACUGAAAAAUGGAGAAACAAUCAAUAUUAACAAUUACUCAAUUUUCCAUAGAGUUUCUGUUCGAAAUUAUGGUUUAAUUAUAUACAUAUAAUAAUUCACCCUUAUUUUACACAGAUUGGAUAAAACAGAUUAUUGCGUGAAGUUACCUUAUACAAAACAGGUAUGUGUUAUCAAUUAUAAUUUUAACAAGGCCGUUAUAAAACUGAUAUGAAUUUAAAAUUAAUUGAAUGUAUUAGAGUACAAAAAAAUAUAAAAAUAUUUCUCUUCAUAUUAGAUAUGACCUUUAGGAACUCGUACUAUUUGCAUCAAAUUUUGAUUGGAAAGAGAUUGGCAUUUGCAAAUUAUUAAAAAUAAAAUUUUACUACUGAUAAUGCAUAUUCAUUAUCUUUUUAUACAAAUUUUGUUCUGUAUUGUAGAUAGAUAGCUUGUAUAGAAGAAAGAUAUACAAAAAUUAUAUGUGAACAAAGAACAUUACAAGAAUAAACAUCCGAAAUUAGUAAAAGAAAAAGUAAUAUCUUCAUUUAUUGUAAAAAAAUUCCAUAUAUUUGUGGAAUAAAAUAACUAAAAUUUUAACUGCAGUAAAUGACGCUACAAAAGAUUGGAAAGAUUGAUGUAAGAAAAAUUACAUUUCUACAAAUUUUGCAAAUCAGAAAAUUGAACUCUUUCUAUAAAUUUCCACAAACUUUCUUUCCAGUUCUGAGAUAAAAAAUAAAAGUAAAGAACAUUAUUAUUAAAAAUGCAUUAAAAACUGAAUUUUUAAACCACAACUUCAGCCAACUUCUAGUGAUAAUUUAUAUAAGUUUAUAUUUUGUUCCAACCACAAAUCACAUAUUUACAGGAAAUUACUCUUUCCCUGAAAUUGUAAGAACUCCAGGUGAGUUAGAUGUUAUCUGAAACCUGUUUAAAGACUACCCAUUUAAUAAAAAAUAUAAUUGCUCCGAUUUUACGUCACUGCACAAGAGAAAAAUUUAAUGUUGAGUUUACAAUUAAUUAUAAUUAAAUAUUUUCAACACUGUAAAUACUACAACGCAUGAAAAUCUAACUCAGUUUUUGUUUAUUAUAUUUCUAUUUAAUUAAUUAUUAAUAUUUCACCGUAAUAAAAACAUAUUUAUAAAAUCUAACUAAAGUACUAUUACGAACAUCAUAAUCAAGUAUUGAACUUCUUAACAAUAACUCUACCUUUGAUUUUAUUUUCGUUACAAAAGAUUAAGAAAAAAAUUUUGUACAAAAACUGUAUUUGUAAAAAACUGAACAUUAUUUGCUAAAGUGGGAAUUUGACUUCCAGAAAAUAGAACAUUGGUUAAAUUUUUCUCAAUAGUAAUUGUUAAUGUUGAAUUGGUUGAAUGUUUCUACUUCUUACAAUCAUAACGGAUACGAUUAUAAUUCUAAGCAGGACAGAACUACUUGAACGAAUAUUAUAUUUACAGUGGCCAAUUAAUUUGUGCAAUUUAAGUUAUAAUAGUUAUAAUAAUUAUAAUAGUAAUAGUUAAAAUAGUAUAUAGAAUUUCAAUUUUAUCUGUUAAUGAAUGUUUUUAUUCCUGGCACAAUUUCCAAUCAAGCAGUAUAAAAGAACAUAUUCUGAUGAAGCAAUCUAUGGCAGCAACAGGAGAUAGUAAAUACAGAAGAAUUGAUAUCACAAAAAAAAGUCAUUAAUUAAAACAUUCAUAUUGUUCAUGAACAUCUAUAAGAUAUAACAAAAAAUCAGUAUAAAAGGAUUAAAAGACUCAAAAGAAAAAUUAAAAAAAAAAUGUCUCAUAAUUUUCUAAUUAUUUAUAUUAACUAAUAAAGUAAUAUAUAUACAUAUUUUGUAUAUUUAUUACACGCGCGAGUAUGUAUGCAUGUAUGUAUGUGUUUACACGAUAUUAUGUGAAGAAGGCAUAGUAGCAAUUUUUAUUAAAUAUGAUUUUAAUAGCAAAUGACCAUCAUGUUGACAUCGUAGGACAAAUAAUAAUUAGCAGUUAAACUGUUGAAGAACAGUAUUAUGCAUCAAGUCUAGUUCCCCGCGGUACAUUUACUUGUUUCUGCGUAAAAAGGGUAGAUUUAUUCGCAAUAUCGCUCGAUAAUAGUGCAUAAGCGUACUAAUAAAUGAAUAUUUUCGCAUUUAUUACCAUGUGGUUAAUUUCACAUUCAAAAUAAUGAAACCUUUUCUAGGUAUAUAAGAGUGAAAAAUCUCAGAUAAAAAUAAAUGUAUGUAUAAUCCGUUAUCUAAUAUAGCGACAAGCAUAAGAUGUAUAAUGCACCGUAUACAAUUACUAAUGCGCUAAUAAUAAUGAAAAAUGGGGAAAUCCAAACUUAAACCGAUUCUAACCCUUUUUUAUCCAUACGAAUAACAAAUGGCCAGAUACGUAGAUACGCAAAAAUUCGACGAGAAUUAAUAAAUUACUUUCUCAAAAGAUGUAUAUUCUGAACUAAAAAUUAAUUGUCUUACAGAGCCUUAUUAGAUCCUACAGUCUAUAAUUCUACAGACUCUUUAUCUUUUAAAAAUUAUUCUGAUUCGACUUCUUUUUUUUUUCAAAAGAAAUAUUUUCUCCUUCCUUUUAUCAAUAAUAACCCAGACUUCUUAUAUAGAAGUAUUACGUUAAUGAUAAUCUUCUAUGAUGCACUGAUCCUAAUAUACGAAAUAAUUUCAAUUAAUAAUGCAAAAGUUUUUACAGAUUUAUUACGAUCCUUUAAAAAAUACUGAUAAAAAAUACUAAUUUUUACAGUUUGUUAUAUUCUAAUAAAAUUAUGUAUUUAACUACUAUAAAAUUAAUGGGAUUUAGCUUCUUAUUAGAUCUGUAAACGAUAAAAUAGUGUGUGUGUGUGUGUGUGUGUGAGCACGUAAUAACUAGAAUUGCUCGUAAAAAGAGGAUAUAUAAAUACAAAUAAUGUUUAAAAGAUUAAAAUAAUCUUAAAUAUAGUAAAAGUAACUGUUCUAAUAGUUUUAUAAUAUGCACAAAUUAAUAUAUCACUUAUAUUUUAUAUAUAUUUUAUAAUAUAUAUAAAUAAUUAUUUAUAUAUUUAUAAUAUAUAACAUAAAUAAAUAUAUUUCAUAUAUGUAUGUGACAAAGACUUCCAUUAUUUAUAUUAAUAUAAUAUAAGAAAACUCAUUUAUACAUAUUUUAUUAUAUAUUCAUUUGUAUUAUAUUAAAAUUUAGACAGUUAUUCAAUGAAAAAAGUCUUAAUAUGAAUAAAUAAAAUAAUAUUUACGUUGUUAAGACCACAUAAAAGACAUGCUAAGUUGAAGAUUAGUGGACGAUGCAUGAAUUUUUUCUUAAAAAAAAUUAAUAAUUUUUUUAAUUUGUUAUUUCAUUAAAAUAUUACAUACUUUAUAGAAUUUUAUUAACAUCAAUUUUAUUAAACUCUCACUUAUUUAAUUUGUACUUUUAUUAACUAAUUGUAAGUAUUUCUAUAAUUAAAUGGUCAAUAUAGAUAUAUAUAUAAAUAA
Vespula vulgaris is the source of this 9582-nucleotide long non-coding RNA. RefSeq lists it as uncharacterized. The transcript has 3 exons. The record is from RefSeq and is a predicted model, not a curated record. Lineage: Eukaryota; Metazoa; Arthropoda; Insecta; Hymenoptera; Vespidae.